UUUUUUUUUUUUUUUAAUAAUAUUUCAGUCAUGACAUUCAGUAAAAAUACAUCAGAUUACUUUUGCCCUGAAUAAGGAGGGUGCUUCAUUGGACUCAACAUGUUGGUGUUUGUAGUAUUAAGGAAGUACCUUGAAGCUGAGAUUUCGUCUGUAUCAUCCUGCAGACUGAGUGGCAAUAAAGCCCUCUGUUUUCAGUGCUUCUAAAUAAGUCUCCUGAGCUAUGGGCACUAGCAACCUGCCUGACCCAGCUCACUCCUCAGUGCUGAGCAAGUUUGAUAUGGCUUCAGUGGUCCUCAAGUAUUUAAAACUCCUUUGGCAACUGCUUCCUCCCCUCUACAAACAAGCCCUGCUAGGACAGACCUCCCUGGUUUGGAUGUGCAGGAGUCUGUGAGAAAUUCUCCAGGAACUGCAGGUUUCCAGAGGCCACAGCAGGAUUAGGUUCCCAGGUGACAUUCAGAAACCGGAAGGUCUUGAGCUGAUGAAGAGGACAGUUCCCUGAAGGCAUUUUUGUGAGUCCCCAUUCACUUGCAUUAAAGCUGCAGGUUUUUCUUCCCUAGUAGGAAAACAAGUGAUGGGGUUCAAUUUUCUUGUGUUUCUUUGGUUAAUCUCUCUUUCUUUACGUCUAGUGAUAUAUUUACUUUUAAUUUUUAUAGCAUUUAAGCAGUAAGGUGUAAAAGACAUUUAGCAAGUUCAUUGUGUGCAGCUCUUGUUUAAUUCAUGCAUUGAGGCUUUUGGUUUGUUUUCAGCUUGUCAUUGUGUUCCCAUUGCUGCAGUUCCAAAUGGAUACUGUUCUUACCAUACACCUGUGUUUUCCAAAUAACACUCUUAGGUUAUCGUACUGCUCAAAUAUGUAGCGUAUUGUUUUAACUGACUGGAACACUGAUGCAUAAUCAUGUUAGUUAAUAGAGCAGUAGCUAUUGCUGUAUCCCACUGCACAGCAUGUGGUGAGGUACAGGUGAGGAACACUCCUAUGUGAAAUAUGAAUAUUAGAACCAAAGUUGUGAAAUGUGUCUUUUAAUGUAUGGGAUAAUUUUUAAGGCCAAAUCUGUGGAAGGCUUUUAUAGUCACUAACUCUCAGUUUUACAAAUAUAAAAACAACCAAACAACAAAAACCCAACAA
RNAcentral lists this long non-coding RNA (1120 nucleotides) under Strigops habroptila (Kakapo). Its description in RNAcentral is "lncRNA (ENSSHBG00005009416.1)". Lineage: Eukaryota; Metazoa; Chordata; Aves; Psittaciformes; Psittacidae. The record is from RNAcentral.